GAUCAUGGCUCAGAUUGAACGCUGGCGGCAUGCUUUACACAUGCAAGUCGAACGGCAGCAUAGAGAGCUUGCUCUCUGAUGGCGAGUGGCGAACGGGUGAGUAAUACAUCGGAACGUGUCCGUUUGUGGGGGACAACCAUCCGAAAGGAUGGCUAAUACCGCAUAAGACCUGAGGGUGAAAGCCGGGGACCGCAAGGCCUGGCGCGAACGGAGCGGCCGAUGACUGAUUAG
This 231-nucleotide ribosomal RNA is filed under the name uncultured bacterium. RNAcentral describes it as "partial 16S ribosomal RNA". It matches the Rfam family "Bacterial small subunit ribosomal RNA", at positions 15 to 244 of the family's 1533-position model. The record is from RNAcentral.